AACUUUCGACAAUGGAUCACUUGGUUCCGGCAUCGAUGAAGAACGCAGCGAAAUGCGAUAACUAAUGUGAAUGGAAGAAUUCAGUGAAUCAUGGAGCCUUUGAAGCAACUUUCCGCCCCCUGGUAUUCCGGGGGGCAUGCCUGUCCGAGCGUCAUUGCUGCCCUCAAGCACGGCUUGUGUGUUGGGCUCCGUCCCCCCGGGGACGGGCCCGAAAGGCAGCGGCGGCACCGAGUCCGGUCCUCGAGCGUAUGGGGCUUUGUCACCCGCUCUGUAGGCCCGGCCGGCGCCAGCCGACAACCCAUCAUCCUUUUCAGGUUGACCUCGGAUCAGGUAGGGAUACCCGCUGAACUUAAGCAUAUCAAUAAGCGGAGGCU
Molecule: unclassified non-coding RNA, 374 nt
Filed under: uncultured Penicillium
Lineage: Eukaryota; Fungi; Ascomycota; Eurotiomycetes; Eurotiales; Aspergillaceae
Description: sequence contains ITS2
Rfam family: 5.8S ribosomal RNA (bases 1-154)
Source: RNAcentral